CAAAAGUUUGUUUACGAAGAAAAAAGUAGAAGGUUGCGAUACCGUGUGUGAAGGAGAAAAUUCCUGCGAUUGACUGGAUCAAGGCUGAAAGGGUUAAUUUGACUGCUUUAUUUCGCAACGGAAGUUGAGGUCCGUGGGGUAAAACCCCUUGUGUCAUCGGCUGCUCUGUGAAGUAGUUGUAAAGUUGCCUGUGUUUGCCCGCAAACUACGGUGUUAAAUUCUCUUUGGGAGUUUGUCGAAUUGAAGAGUAAAACUAAGGUGACCGAUGUGAGUAGGAACAAAACGGAAUUUGG
Long non-coding RNA from Culex quinquefasciatus (southern house mosquito), 293 nucleotides. RefSeq lists it as uncharacterized. Lineage: Eukaryota; Metazoa; Arthropoda; Insecta; Diptera; Culicidae. The transcript has 3 exons. The record is from RefSeq and is a predicted model, not a curated record.